GGUGCCUUGGAGAAGUGGUUAACUCGCUCCCUUUGGGUCUAUGCACUUGGGAGAGGUCAGUGGUUCGAUCCCCCUAGGCGCCC
Molecule: non-coding RNA, 83 nt
Organism: Hypoxylon sp. FL0543
Lineage: Eukaryota; Fungi; Ascomycota; Sordariomycetes; Xylariales; Hypoxylaceae
Source: the annotation of a GenBank genome assembly